GGGAAUGUGGCUUAGUGGUGGUAGAGUGCUUGCCUAGCGUGCAUGAAGCCUGGGUUCAAUUCCUCAGCACCA
Molecule: transfer RNA, 72 nt
Filed under: Dipodomys ordii (Ord's kangaroo rat)
Lineage: Eukaryota; Metazoa; Chordata; Mammalia; Rodentia; Heteromyidae
Rfam family: tRNA
About the family: Transfer RNA (tRNA) molecules are approximately 80 nucleotides in length. Their secondary structure includes four short double-helical elements and three loops (D, anti-codon, and T loops).
Source: Rfam by way of RNAcentral